RNAcentral lists this ribosomal RNA (242 nucleotides) under uncultured bacterium. RNAcentral's name for it is "partial 16S ribosomal RNA". It matches the Rfam family "Bacterial small subunit ribosomal RNA", at positions 535 to 776 of the family's 1533-position model. The record is from RNAcentral.
CAAGCGUUGUUCGGAAUUACUGGGCGUAAAGGGCUCGUAGGCGGCCAACUAAGUCAGACGUGAAAUCCCCAGGCUCAACCUGGGAACUGCGUCUGAUACUGGAUGGCUUGAAUCCGGGAGAGGGAUGCAGAAUUCCAGGUGUAGCGGUGAAAUGCGUAGAGAUCCGGAGGAAUACCAGAGGCGAAGGCGGCAUCCUGGUCUGUUACUGACACUGAGACGCGAAAGCAUGGGGAGCGAACGGG